CGAAUUUGAAUAAUUACAAGAGGAGUAGACUAUGUCUAUUUAUAGGCUUGUAAAACCAUAUUCUAAUAGGAGUGAAACACCUUAUUCUAAUCAAUAUCAAAUGGAUAGAGUUUAAUAAGGUUUAAAAAACCUUAUUCUAAAAUAAAAUAAAAGAAGUAUAAUUCUAUAGGGAUUUUAAUUUUAUUUUAUUUUACCACAGUAUUUUAUUUAAAUAAGGAUUCGAGUCACUUAAUUCUAACAAUC
RNAcentral lists this long non-coding RNA (243 nucleotides) under Gossypium barbadense (sea-island cotton). Its description in RNAcentral is "long non-coding RNA (GBAR_LNC015245)". The record is from RNAcentral. Lineage: Eukaryota; Viridiplantae; Streptophyta; Magnoliopsida; Malvales; Malvaceae.